UAGCUCAAAUGGUAAAGAAUCUGCCUGCAAUGCAGGAGACCCAGGUUCAAUCCCUGG
This 57-nucleotide transfer RNA is filed under the name Bos taurus (domestic cattle). It matches the Rfam family "tRNA", at positions 8 to 63 of the family's 71-position model. From Rfam's summary of the family: Transfer RNA (tRNA) molecules are approximately 80 nucleotides in length. Their secondary structure includes four short double-helical elements and three loops (D, anti-codon, and T loops). Further hydrogen bonds mediate the characteristic L-shaped molecular structure. tRNAs have two regions of fundamental functional importance: the anti-codon, which is responsible for specific mRNA codon recognition, and the 3' end, to which the tRNAs corresponding amino acid is attached (by aminoacyl-tRNA synthetases). tRNAs cope with the degeneracy of the genetic code in two manners: having more than one tRNA (with a specific anti-codon) for a particular amino acid; and 'wobble' base-pairing, i.e. permitting non-standard base-pairing at the 3rd anti-codon position. Lineage: Eukaryota; Metazoa; Chordata; Mammalia; Artiodactyla; Bovidae. RNAcentral also lists the same sequence under 3 other names. The record is from Rfam by way of RNAcentral.